UUAAAUUGAAGAGUUUGAUCAUGRCUCAGAUUGAACGCUGGCGGCAGGCCUAACACAUGCAAGUCGAACGGUAACAGAAAGCAGCUUGCUGCUUUGCUGACGAGUGGCGGACGGGUGAGUAAUGUCUGGGAAACUGCCUGAUGGAGGGGGAUAACUACUGGAAACGGUAGCUAAUACCGCAUAACGUCGCAAGACC
Molecule: ribosomal RNA, 196 nt
Filed under: Escherichia coli
Lineage: Bacteria; Pseudomonadati; Pseudomonadota; Gammaproteobacteria; Enterobacterales; Enterobacteriaceae
Description: partial 16S ribosomal RNA
Rfam family: Bacterial small subunit ribosomal RNA
Source: RNAcentral